GAGUUUGAUCCUGGCUCAGGACGAACGCUGGCGGCGUGCCUAACACAUGCAAGUCGAACGGAGAUUUCAGCAAUGAAGUCUUAGUGGCGAACGGGUGAGUAACGCGUAGACAACCUACCUUCUAGAUGGGGACAACACUGCGAAAGUGGUGCUAAUACCGAAUGUUGUAUCGAAGCUGCAUAGCUUUGCUACUAAAGAUGGCCUCUAUUCAUAAGCUAUCACUAGAAGAUGGGUCUGCGUCUGAUUAGCUAGUUGGUGAGGUAAUGGCUCACCAAGGCGACGAUCAGUAGCCGGUCUGAGAGGAUGAACGGCCACAUUGGGACUGAGACAC
RNAcentral lists this ribosomal RNA (331 nucleotides) under uncultured low G+C Gram-positive bacterium 377ev. RNAcentral describes it as "bacterial SSU rRNA". It matches the Rfam family "Bacterial small subunit ribosomal RNA", at positions 9 to 327 of the family's 1533-position model. The record is from RNAcentral. Lineage: Bacteria; Bacillati; Bacillota.